GAUUUCUGAUCUGAAACAUUUGGCCGGCCACGGUUUCGUGUGUUAGUGCUUGAUGUUCUGAUCAUCCUUCCAAUCGCUAUUGGCUUAUCUUCAUUGAUUGGUCAGUAGUAUUGGAUCUUUUACUUUGAAAAAAUUAGAGUGUUUCAAGCAGGCUUUAUGCUAUGAAUACAUUAGCAUGGAAUAAUAAUUUAGGACUUCGGUUCUAUUUUGUUGGUUUCUAGGACUGAAGUAAUGAUUGAUAGGGAUAGUUGGGGGUGCUAGUAUUCAGCGGCCAGAGGUGAAAUUCUCGGAUUCGCUGAAGACUAACUUAUGCGAAAGCAUU
This 322-nucleotide ribosomal RNA is filed under the name uncultured Sandona. RNAcentral describes it as "SSU rRNA". The stretch from base 112 to 322 matches the Rfam family "Eukaryotic small subunit ribosomal RNA", at positions 744 to 955 of the family's 1831-position model. The record is from RNAcentral. Lineage: Eukaryota; Cercozoa; Glissomonadida.